AAAGCUCGUAGUUGAACCUUGGGCCUGGCUGGCCGGUCCGCCUCACCGCGUGCACUGGUUCGGCCGGGCCUUUCCCUCUGGGGAACCUCAUGCCCUUCACUGGGUGUGAUGGGGAACCAGGACUUUUACUGUGAAAAAAUUAGAGUGUUCAAAGCAGGCCUAUGCUCGAAUACAUUAGCAUGGAAUAAUAGAAUAGGACGUGUGGUUCUAUUUUGUUGGUUUCUAGGACCGCCGUAAUGAUUAAUAGGGACAGUCGGGGGCAUUAGUAUUCAAUUGUCAGAGGUGAAAUUCUUGGAUUUAUUGAAGACUAACUACUGCGAAAGCAUUUGCCAAGGAUGUUUUCAUUAAUCAGGAACGAAAGUUAGGGGAUCGAAGACGAUCAGAUACCGUCGUAGUCUUAACCAUAAACUAUGCCGACUAGGGAUCGGACGGUGUUAUUUUUUGACCCGUUCGGCA
Molecule: ribosomal RNA, 456 nt
Filed under: uncultured Ascomycota
Lineage: Eukaryota; Fungi; Ascomycota
Description: SSU rRNA
Rfam family: Eukaryotic small subunit ribosomal RNA
Source: RNAcentral